This 471-nucleotide ribosomal RNA is filed under the name uncultured bacterium. Its description in RNAcentral is "bacterial SSU rRNA". It matches the Rfam family "Bacterial small subunit ribosomal RNA", at positions 29 to 476 of the family's 1533-position model. The record is from RNAcentral.
AACGAACGUUAGCGGCGCGCUUAACACAUGCAAGUCGCACGAGAAAGGGAGCAAUCCCCGGUACAGUGGCGCACGGGUGAGUAACACGUAGGUAAUCUUCCCUCGAGUGGUGGAUAACCUUCCGAAAGGGAGGCUAAUACAGCAUAAGACCACGGGAGCGAAAGCUUCUGAGGUCAAAGCCGGCCUCUAUACAUAAGCUGGCGCUUGAGGAUGAGCCUGCGGCCCAUCAGCUAGUUGGUAGGGUAAUGGCCUACCAAGGCGAAGACGGGUAGCUGGUCUGAGAGGAUGAUCAGCCACACUGGAACUGAGACACGGUCCAGACUCCUACGGGAGGCAGCAGUGGGGAAUCUUGCGCAAUGGGCGAAAGCCUGACGCAGCGACGCCGCGUGAGUGAUGAAGGCCUUCGGUGUAAGACUCUGUGGGAGAGACGAAUAAGGCGAAUGGCGAAGUACCCAACUAGUUGAUGACGGU